GACGAACCGUCCAAACGUUAUUCGGAUUCACUGGGCUUAAAGGGUGCGUAGGCGGCUCAGAAAGUAGGGUGUGAAAGCCCUCGGCUCAACCGAGGAAUUGCGCCCUAAACUACUGGGCUUGAGGAACGCAGAGGUAAGCGGAACUUACGGUGGAGCGGUGAAAUGCGUUGAUAUCGUAAGGAACACCAGGAGCGAAAGCGGCUUACUGGGCGUUUUCUGACGCUGAUGCACGAAAGCCAGGGGAGCGAACGGG
Molecule: ribosomal RNA, 253 nt
Filed under: uncultured bacterium
Lineage: Bacteria
Description: partial 16S ribosomal RNA
Rfam family: Bacterial small subunit ribosomal RNA
Source: RNAcentral